Molecule: ribosomal RNA, 614 nt
Filed under: uncultured archaeon
Lineage: Archaea
Description: bacterial SSU rRNA
Rfam family: Archaeal small subunit ribosomal RNA
Source: RNAcentral
GCUCUCAGCUAUGAGAGAGCGCGGCGCACGGCUCAGUAACAUGUGGUUAACCUACCCUCAGGACGGGGAUACCCUCGGGAAACUGAGGCUAAUCCCAGAUAGAUGAGGGAUCCUGGAAUGGUUCCUCAUCGAAAAGGCACGCAUAUCAUGCUAUACGUGUCGCCUGAGGAUGGGACCGCAUCCUAUCAGGUAGUUGGUGGGGUAACGGCCCACCAAGCCUAUAACGGGUACGGGCCCUGAGAGGGGGAGCCCGGAGAUGGGUACUGAGACAAGGACCCAGGCCCUACGGGGCGCAGCAGGCGCGAAACCUCCGCAAUGCGCGAAAGCGCGACGGGGCCACCCCGAGUGCCAUCCGCUGAGGGUGGCUUUUCCCUAGCGUAGUAAGCUAGGGGAAUAAGCGGGGGGCAAGUCUGGUGUCAGCCGCCGCGGUAAUACCAGCUCCGCAAGUGGUCGGGACGAUUAUUGGGCCUAAAGCGUCCGUAGCCGGCCUAACAAGUCUCUGGUUAAAUCUCAAGGCUUAACCUUGAGAUCGCUGGAGAUACUGUUAGGCUAGGGGGCGGGAGAGGUUGAGGGUACUUCGCGGGUAGGGGCGAAAUCCUAUAAUCCGCGAAGGA